CACCCUCUCCCCCCUCCCCCAGCUUCGGGCCGGGAGAGCCCAGCGGCUCGGGCGACCACGCGUCGGAGGACUGCGUAGAGAUGCGCCAGGACAUAGACUUCAAGUGGAACGAUGAGUACUGCAUGGAAAAGAGGAGAUUUCUGUGUCGCAAGGCCCCCGAAUAAUCUUUUUUUCUAAGGCCAUGAGGGGUGAGGCAGACCCUUUGAAAAAUGUUUUUUGUCUCUCGUAAUCCUUUCGGUCCUCUGGAGUAAUUGCGUACGGUAAAAAAAAAAAAAAAAAAAAAAAACAUUGAAAUUCAUUUUCCUCUCUCCAUUUUUGUUAGGUAUUCUGCAUAGAUAGUACUAUAUGUGCAUGAGAGAUAGACAGAUAGAUAGAUAAACAGAUAGAGAGACAGAGGGGGGGAGAGGGAGAGGGAGAGGGAGAGAGAGAGAGAGAGAGAGAGAGAAUAGGGAAGAGCAGUGCAAAUUUAUUCCACGUUUUUUCUAUAUUCAUUAAACGAACGUAAUAUACAAACAGUAUGGCAUAACAUUAUUCGUAAAGCCACCUUGAUAAAUGACAAAAACUAAAUUCCGGUUCUAGUUGUUUUAUCUUUUCUCUGUUUUUCACUGUCUAUUUCCCUCUCUCUCAAUGUUUCUUUCUCGUUCAUUGUCUCUUUACCCUGUUUAUCUGGUGGCUUUUCUUCUAUAUUUACGUAUCCUUCUUCUUCUAUCCCUGUCUGUCUCUCUC
Long non-coding RNA from Penaeus monodon (black tiger shrimp), 726 nucleotides. RefSeq lists it as uncharacterized. The record is from RefSeq and is a predicted model, not a curated record. Lineage: Eukaryota; Metazoa; Arthropoda; Malacostraca; Decapoda; Penaeidae. The transcript has 3 exons.